This 94-nucleotide small nucleolar RNA is filed under the name Penicillium subrubescens. RNAcentral's name for it is "Small nucleolar RNA snR73". It matches the Rfam family "Small nucleolar RNA snR73". Lineage: Eukaryota; Fungi; Ascomycota; Eurotiomycetes; Eurotiales; Aspergillaceae. The record is from Rfam by way of RNAcentral.
CUACAUGAUGAUUUACUACAUUUUUAUCACGACGGUCAACAUAAGGAAUUUCCAAUUGAUGACCACCGCCUGUGACAGGGCUUUGAAUCUGAUC